Molecule: ribosomal RNA, 681 nt
Filed under: uncultured bacterium
Lineage: Bacteria
Description: bacterial SSU rRNA
Rfam family: Bacterial small subunit ribosomal RNA
Source: RNAcentral
GAACUUAGCUUAGUGGCGGACGGGUGAGUAACGCGUGAGUAACCUGCCUUUCAGAGGGGGAUAACGUUCUGAAAAGAACGCUAAUACCGCAUAAUAUAUUGGUGUCGCAUGGCACCGGUAUCAAAGGAGCAAUCCGCUGAAAGAUGGACUCGCGUCCGAUUAGCCAGUUGGCGGGGUAAAGGCCCACCAAAGCGACGAUCGGUAGCCGGGUUGAGAGACUGAACGGCCACAUUGGGACUGAGACACGGCCCAGACUCCUACGGGAGGCAGCAGUGGGGGAUAUUGCACAAUGGAGGAAACUCUGAUGCAGCAAUGCCGCGUGAGGGAAGACGGUCUUCGGAUUGUAAACCUCUGUCCUUGGUGAAGAUAAUGACGGUAGCCAAGGAGGAAGCUCCGGCUAACUACGUGCCAGCAGCCGCGGUAAUACGUAGGGAGCAAGCGUUGUCCGGAUUUACUGGGUGUAAAGGGUGCGUAGGCGGCUCUUUAAGUCGGGCGUGAAAGCUGCGGGCUUAACCCACAAAUUGCGUUCGAAACUGGAGGGCUUGAGUGAAGUAGAGGUAGGCGGAANNNCCGGUGUAGCGGUGAAAUGCGUAGAGAUCGGGAGGAACACCAGUGGCGAAGGCNGCCUACUGGGCNUUAACUGACGCUGAGGCACGAAAGCAUGGGNUAGCAAACAGGAUU